Molecule: ribosomal RNA, 409 nt
Filed under: bacterium
Lineage: Bacteria
Description: partial 16S ribosomal RNA
Rfam family: Bacterial small subunit ribosomal RNA
Source: RNAcentral
UGGGGAAUAUUGCACAAUGGGCGAAAGCCUGAUGCAGCGACGCCGCGUGAGGGAUGACGGCCUUCGGGUUGUAAACCUCUUUCAGCAGGGACGAAGCGCAAGUGACGGUACCUGCAGAAGAAGCACCGGCUAACUACGUGCCAGCAGCCGCGGUAAUACGUAGGGUGCAAGCGUUGUCCGGAAUUACUGGGCGUAAAGAGUUCGUAGGCGGAUUGUCGCGUCGUUUGUGAAAACCAGCAGCUCCACUGCUGGCUUGCAGGCGAUACGGGCAGACUUGAGUACUGCAGGGGAGACUGGAAUUCCUGGUGUAGCGGUGAAAUGCGCAGAUAUCAGGAGGAACACCGGUGGCGAAGGCGGGUCUCUGGGCAGUAACUGACGCUGAGGAACGAAAGCGUGGGUAGCGAACAGG